ACCUGGAUGUGGGUUUUGCGCGGCAACGCAACUGAACGUGGAGACGACGGCGGGGGCCCCGGGCAGAGUUGGCUGGUCAUUUGACACUAUACGUUUUUGUUGGAGUUGGGGAGCUAGGGUUUAAUGGCUGGAAGAGCCCAGCACCUCUGCUGGGUCCGGUGCGCUCUCGACGUCCCUUGAAAAUCCACGGGAGGAAAUAAUUCUCACGCAGG
Molecule: non-coding RNA, 212 nt
Filed under: Fusarium oxysporum f. sp. lycopersici 4287
Lineage: Eukaryota; Fungi; Ascomycota; Sordariomycetes; Hypocreales; Nectriaceae
Description: Fusarium oxysporum f. sp. lycopersici eukaryotic large subunit ribosomal RNA
Rfam family: Eukaryotic large subunit ribosomal RNA
Source: Rfam by way of RNAcentral